AGGCUGCAACCAUUUGUCCCUCAGAACAGAACAAUUAACUAGACAAAGGACUACAGAUCUAAUUUUCAUGAUAUCGAGGCUUUUACAGCCUGAAGGUUUGUGGCAACACGACCUGGAGCAAGUCGAUUGGCACCAUUUUUCCAACAGCAUUUGCUCACUUCCUGCCUCUGUGUCACAUUCUGUUUCUACUCUUCUUUUCCUGGACAGAAGAUAGAUUUGCACUUCCUGAAACUCUCAUGGUAGGUUGGGCUGUGA
Camelus dromedarius (Arabian camel) is the source of this 255-nucleotide long non-coding RNA. RefSeq lists it as uncharacterized. NCBI's taxonomy places the organism in Eukaryota, Metazoa, Chordata, Mammalia, Artiodactyla, Camelidae. The transcript is spliced from 3 exons. The record is from RefSeq and is a predicted model, not a curated record.